Helianthus annuus (common sunflower) is the source of this 487-nucleotide long non-coding RNA. RefSeq lists it as uncharacterized. Lineage: Eukaryota; Viridiplantae; Streptophyta; Magnoliopsida; Asterales; Asteraceae. The record is from RefSeq and is a predicted model, not a curated record. The transcript is spliced from 3 exons.
UCUGGUUCUAUUUAUUCACAAGUAUCAAUACAAGUCUUCCUGUUCUAGGAUAUUAUUAGUAAUAUAUAUUUGGUUAUGAUAUGGUUCUUUGUGUUAUGAGUAGUACCAAGAAAAAUGUUAUCUCAGGAAAAAAGAGAUGGAAAUGAACAUGUUAGAAAAAGAACACAAGGCAGUGUCGCCCAAGGAUGUUUGGCUGAUAGGUUGCUGAGGAACAUGGAAAAACAAGCUAGGAUGAUGCUCUAGAAACGUCGCCUAGUUAACUUAGUAUUUUGAAACAAUUUGAACAAUUUAUGUUUGGCUGAUAGGUUGCUGAGGAACAUGGAAAAACAAGCUAGGAUGAUGCUCUAGAAACGUCGCCUAGUUAACUUAGUAUUUUGAAACAAUUUGAACAAUUUAUGUUUGGUUUGUAAUGUGAUGAUUGUGGCAAAGUUUUAGACUACUUGCAUGAAAUCUAUUAAUCUUUAUCGAAACAAAUAGUGUUAUGGAA